RNAcentral lists this unclassified non-coding RNA (391 nucleotides) under soil metagenome. RNAcentral's name for it is "partial contains 5.8S ribosomal RNA, internal transcribed spacer 2, and large subunit ribosomal RNA". The stretch from base 1 to 122 matches the Rfam family "5.8S ribosomal RNA", at positions 35 to 154 of the family's 154-position model. The record is from RNAcentral.
GAUGAAGAACGUAGCGAAAUGCGAUACUUGGUGUGAAUUGCAGAAUCCCGUGAACCAUCGAGUCUUUGAACGCAAGUUGCGCCCGAAGCCAUUAGGCCGAGGGCACGCCUGCCUGGGCGUCACACGUCGUUGCCCCCCCAUCUACUCCUUCGGGAUUGCGGGGGGCGGAUGAUGGCCUCCCGUGCGCCUCGUCGCGCGGUUGGCAUAAAUGCCAAGUCCUCGGCGACGCACGCCACGACAAUCGGUGGUUGCGAAACCUCGGUUGCCCGUCGUGUGCGGUCGUCGCGCAUCGAGGGCUCGAAAAAAUUGCCGGGCUACGGCUCGGCUUUCAACGCGACCCCAGGUCAGGCGGGGUUACCCGCUGAAUUUAAGCAUAUCAAUAAGCGGAGGA